Molecule: RNA transcript, 1263 nt
Organism: Cebus imitator (Panamanian white-faced capuchin)
Lineage: Eukaryota; Metazoa; Chordata; Mammalia; Primates; Cebidae
Gene: RHOD
Gene name: ras homolog family member D
Exons: 6
Source: RefSeq, a predicted model, not a curated record
GCCCCGCCGGGCCUGCCCCGCGCAGUCCCGGUCCCGGCGCCACAGCCGCCUGCCCGUCCGCUUCUUGCCCGGCCCGGGAUGACGGCGGCCCAGGCCGCGGGCGAGGAGGCCCCCCCAGGCGUGUGUUCCGUCAAGGUGGUCCUGGUGGGCGACGGUGGCUGCGGGAAGACGUCGCUGCUGACGGUCUUUGCUGAUGGGGCCUUCCCCGAGAGCUACACCCCCACGGUGUUUGAGCGGCACCUGAUCAGCCUGCAAGUGAAAGGCAAGACCGUGCACCUCCACAUCUGGGACACAGCAGGGCAAGAUGACUACGACCGCCUUCGGCCCCUGUUCUACCCUGACGCCAGCGUCCUGCUGCUCUGCUUCGAUGUCACCAGCCCGAACAGCUUUGACAACGUCUCUGCCCGGCUGCCUUGCCAUGGCACAGCCCCUCACCCACUGCUGCCAGGGCCUCCGAGGUUCUGCCAGGUACAACCUGUGAUAGUAUUUGCAACAACAACAACACCGAUGGCGACAAUUUUAAGGACUGAUCACGUGCCAGGCACUGCUCUGGUGGUACCCAGAAGUGAAUCAUUUCUGCAAGAACGUGCCCAUCAUCGUCGUGGGCUGCAAGACUGACCUGCGCAAGGACAAAUCACUGGUGAACAAGCUCCGAAGAAAUGGGCUGGAGCCUGUGACCUACCACAGGGGCCAGGAGAUGGCGAGGUCUGUGGGCGCGGUGGCCUACCUUGAGUGCUCAGCUCGGCUCCAUGACAACGUCCACGCCGUCUUCCAGGAAGCGGCCAAUGUGGCUCUCAGCAGCCGCAGUCGCAACUUCUGGCGGCAGAUUACCCAGGGCUUUUGCGUGGUGACCUGAGCGGCGCCUGGCGUCCCAGCGGCGCGGGAAGGGGCUGGGCACUGACGUGCUGCUGAGCUGGCUGGGCUGGACCUGGUCCCCAGGCUGUGACCGCCGAACUGCACCGCAACAGACGGGUGCCAUCAAGGCCAGGCCUUGGGAGUCCUGGCCUGAGAAAGGGCGUUCCUGGGCCCACCUGCCCUGUGGAGGGCUCGCCCUGUGGUGCCUGGGAAUCACUCCCUGACCCGGGUACCAGCUCCCGAUCAACAUCCUGGAGCUGCCUGUGCAGGCUGAUGCCCCCUCGUGGCUGCUCCCAGGGCUGCAUCUGCCAGGACCUAGUGUUCUUAAGGAUCCUCCUGCCAGAACCCACACCUGGCCCCUUCCCACCUGUCAUGCUGGUAACUGUAACAACGAAAUUGACAUCACUU